Long non-coding RNA from Podarcis raffonei (Aeolian wall lizard), 624 nucleotides. RefSeq lists it as uncharacterized. Lineage: Eukaryota; Metazoa; Chordata; Lepidosauria; Squamata; Lacertidae. The record is from RefSeq and is a predicted model, not a curated record. The transcript is spliced from 2 exons.
GUGGCUAGAUAUGCAGAAAUCAGAAGGUGAAAAAGCUUUUGACAGUGUGGAGAUAUCACCUGUAAAGAUAAAGGUAUCCCAAUGAGCUAAAAAUGAAAAGGAAGCAGAAUAUAUUAUGAAAAGCCAAGCAAAUAUAUCCCUGGAUGCUUUGUUUGAAGAAAGUGUUCAGAAGACAGAAUUUGGAGGGUGUGCAUGUAUGCAGAUUUUGUGCAAACUUCCCAUCUCAGACUUCCAAAGCCACAGCAAAACAGUCUCAAACCCUCCGUUCAUUACCCUGGACCUGCACUGCCUCCUACCUCACACUGACUGCGUAGGCCACGUUCUUGCAGGCGAGACCAGAUGCUUUGGAUGCGGCCAGCAUGUUCAGGGUGGUUGCUGUUGUCCCCACACGAGCACUGGUGUUUCAACAUGACGGAGUCAUACACGAUGCCUGCAACGAAAAGAAAAGCAGCACCCAGGUCACUCACAAAGCUGCAACUCUCUCUGGGCUUGGUGAGCACUGGAAAACCAACUCGAGCAUACAGAAACCAUGUGGCACAGCUCUUCCAGAAUGCAGUAUGGACUGCAGGUGUGGAAUCAGGAACUGCAAUAUUUACUAAUGUAAAUAAACUCUCUGGUGGGGAA